RNAcentral lists this transfer RNA (71 nucleotides) under Loxodonta africana (African savanna elephant). It matches the Rfam family "tRNA". From Rfam's summary of the family: Transfer RNA (tRNA) molecules are approximately 80 nucleotides in length. Their secondary structure includes four short double-helical elements and three loops (D, anti-codon, and T loops). The record is from Rfam by way of RNAcentral. Lineage: Eukaryota; Metazoa; Chordata; Mammalia; Proboscidea; Elephantidae.
GCUCUGGCGGUUUAGUGGUAAAAUUAUCACCUUCCAUGAAGGGGACCCAGGUUCGAUUCCUGGCCAAUGCA